Molecule: ribosomal RNA, 961 nt
Filed under: marine metagenome
Description: bacterial LSU rRNA
Rfam family: Bacterial large subunit ribosomal RNA
Source: RNAcentral
AAGGUAGCGAAAUUCCUUGUCGGGUAAGUUCCGACCUGCACGAAUGGCGUAACGAUCUCCCCGCUGUCUCAAAUGCGGACUCAGCGAAAUUGAACUGUGUGUCAAGAUGCACACUACCCGCGGUUAGACGGAAAGACCCCAUGCACCUUUACUCCAGCUUUGCACUGGUAUCAGGAUUGUGAUGUGCAGGAUAGGUGGUAGGCAUCGAAGCAGGGACGCUAGUUCUUGUGGAGCCUCCCUUGAGAUACCACCCUUCGCACUCUUGAUAUCUAACCGCGGCCCGUUAUCCGGGUCCGGGACCCUGCAUGGUGGGGAGUUUGACUGGGGCGGUCGCCUCCCAAACAGUAACGGAGGCGCGCGAAGGUAGGCUCAGACCGGUCGGAAAUCGGUCGUUGAGUGCAAUGGCAGAAGCCUGCCUGACUGCAAGUCUGACAAGACGAGCAGAGACGAAAGUCGGUCAUAGUGAUCCGGUGGUCCCAAGUGGGAGGGCCAUCGCUCAACGGAUAAAAGGUACGCUGGGGAUAACAGGCUGAUGAUGCCCAAGAGUCCAUAUCGACGGCAUCGUUUGGCACCUCGAUGUCGGCUCAUCUCAUCCUGGGGCUGGAGCAGGUCCCAAGGGUACGGCUGUUCGCCGUUUAAAGAGGUACGUGAGCUGGGUUUAGAACGUCGUGAGACAGUUCGGUCCCUAUCUGCCGUGGGUGUAGGAGACUUGAGAAGAGUUGCCCCUAGUACGAGAGGACCGGGGUGAACGAACCACUGGUGGACCAGUUAUCGUGCCAACGGUAGUGCUGGGUAGCUAUGUUCGGACAGGAUAACCGCUGAAGGCAUCUAAGCGGGAAGCCCCCUUCAAAACAAGGUCUCCCUUGAGAGCCGUGGAAGACCACCACGUCGAUAGGCCAGAGAUGUAAGUGCAGCAAUGCAUUCAGUUGACUGGUACUAAUUGCUCGAUAGGCUUGAUUUG